RNAcentral lists this transfer RNA (78 nucleotides) under Acidithiobacillus ferrooxidans ATCC 23270. RNAcentral's name for it is "tRNA-Asn". It matches the Rfam family "tRNA". Rfam says of the family: Transfer RNA (tRNA) molecules are approximately 80 nucleotides in length. Their secondary structure includes four short double-helical elements and three loops (D, anti-codon, and T loops). Lineage: Bacteria; Pseudomonadati; Pseudomonadota; Acidithiobacillia; Acidithiobacillales; Acidithiobacillaceae. The record is from RNAcentral.
UUCCCCGGUAGCUCAGUCGGUAGAGCGGGUGACUGUUAAUCACUAGGUCGGCAGUUCGAGCCUGUCCCGGGGAGCCAA